UACAGAGGGUGCAAACGUUGCUCGGAAUCAUUGGGCGUAAAGCGCACGUAGGCGGCCCAGCAAGUGGGGAGUGAAAGCCCUCGGCUUAACCGAGGAAGUGCUUUCCAAACUACUGGGCUUGAAUACUGGAGAGGGUCGCGGAAUUCCCGGUGUAGAGGUGAAAUUCGUAGAUAUCGAGAGGAACACCUGCGGCGAAGGCGGGUUGCUGGGCUGACACUGACGCUGAGGCGCGAAAGCUAGGGGAGCGAACGGG
RNAcentral lists this ribosomal RNA (253 nucleotides) under uncultured bacterium. Its description in RNAcentral is "partial 16S ribosomal RNA". It matches the Rfam family "Bacterial small subunit ribosomal RNA", at positions 524 to 776 of the family's 1533-position model. The record is from RNAcentral.